RNAcentral lists this ribosomal RNA (207 nucleotides) under Paenibacillus sp. NFR01. RNAcentral's name for it is "partial 16S rRNA. Bacterial SSU". It matches the Rfam family "Bacterial small subunit ribosomal RNA", at positions 1 to 206 of the family's 1533-position model. The record is from RNAcentral. Lineage: Bacteria; Bacillati; Bacillota; Bacilli; Caryophanales; Paenibacillaceae.
CCUUUAUGGAGAGUUUGAUCCUGGCUCAGGACGAACGCUGGCGGCGUGCCUAAUACAUGCAAGUCGAGCGGAGUUUAUCCUUCGGGGUAAGCUUAGCGGCGGACGGGUGAGUAACACGUAGGCAACCUGCCCCAUGAACUGGGAUAACUACCGGAAACGGUAGCUAAUACCGGAUAAUUCCUCUUUUCGCCUGAAGAGAGGAUGAAA